UACGAGGGGGGCUAGCGUUGCUCGGAAUGACUGGGCGUAAAGGGCGCGUAGGCGGCAUACACAGUCAGAUGUGAAAUUCCUGGGCUCAACCUGGGGACUGCAUUUGAUACGUGUAAGCUAGAGUGGAGAAGAGGGGUCGUGGAAUUUUCCAGUGUAGAGGUGAAAUUCGUAGAUAUUGGAAAGAACACCGGUGGCGAAGGCGGCGACCUGGUCUUUAACUGACGCUGAGGCGCGAAAGCGUGGGGAGCAAACAGGAUUAGAUACCCUGGUAGUCCACGCUGUAAACGAUGUGUGCUGGAUGUUGGGAAACUUAGUUUUUCAGUGUCGUAGCUAACGCGAUAAGCACACCGCCUGGGGAGUACGGCCGCAAGGUUGAAACUC
This 381-nucleotide ribosomal RNA is filed under the name uncultured bacterium. RNAcentral's name for it is "bacterial SSU rRNA". It matches the Rfam family "Bacterial small subunit ribosomal RNA", at positions 524 to 902 of the family's 1533-position model. The record is from RNAcentral.